CCAAAAGGGAAGUGGCAGCCUUGUUCUUUCCCCGCUCUGAAGGUGGGAGGAGGAUCACCAGGGCAUCUGAGGCAUGCCGCUAGUCUGCUGGCUCAUGUUGUGGGCCUGCAGAAGCAGCCAGAUGAUCCACUCCUUCAGCUCUCAGACCCAGGCAGCACAUGUUUAGGUCCUUGAGCCAAAGGGGCCAGACUUGGAGACAACACAAGGCAGAAGAUGGCUCCAGUCUGUCCUCACUUCCCUGCUCUGCAUCUGCCUUGCCACCCUGACCCGCUGCCCUGCAGAAUUCAGACUCCAACACCAGAUAAAUCAGCUCAGCACAGAAGAGAUGAGCGUGUGUACUACUUUCCAAAAGAGGAAGUGGAUUCAGAAAACUACUUAUUUUGAUGGGUCUGACAAUCGUUGGCUCCACCUGGACCCACUAACCACUCCUGUGGCCCCACCAGAAUGACUGAGUGCAUAGGAGGACCAUUUCCCACACCCCUGUGAUUGCACCCCCAAACAAUCAGAGCAAGCACCCAUUGCCUAGCCAUCCCCACCCCUUAGCCCAAACUACCUUUGAAAAAUCCU
RNAcentral lists this long non-coding RNA (567 nucleotides) under Homo sapiens (human). Its description in RNAcentral is "HSALNT0101939". Lineage: Eukaryota; Metazoa; Chordata; Mammalia; Primates; Hominidae. The record is from RNAcentral.